UACAGAGGUGCCAAGCGUUAGGCGGAAUCACUGGGCGUAAAGCGUGCGCAGGCGGUUCGCAAAGUCUGAUGUGAAAGCCCCGGGCUCAACCUGGGAACUGCAUUGGAAACUAACGGGCUCGAGUGUGGCAGAGGGGGGUGGAAUUCCACGUGUAGCAGUGAAAUGCGUAGAGAUGUGGAGGAACACCGAUGGCGAAGGCAGCCCCCUGGGCUAACACUGACGCUCAGGCACGAAAGCGUGGGGAGCAAACAGG
This 253-nucleotide ribosomal RNA is filed under the name uncultured bacterium. Its description in RNAcentral is "partial 16S ribosomal RNA". It matches the Rfam family "Bacterial small subunit ribosomal RNA", at positions 524 to 776 of the family's 1533-position model. The record is from RNAcentral.